Molecule: ribosomal RNA, 454 nt
Filed under: uncultured Rikenella sp.
Lineage: Bacteria; Pseudomonadati; Bacteroidota; Bacteroidia; Bacteroidales; Rikenellaceae
Description: bacterial SSU rRNA
Rfam family: Bacterial small subunit ribosomal RNA
Source: RNAcentral
ACGGAAGGCAGCAGUGAGGAAUAUUGGUCAAUGGACGGAAGUCUGAACCAGCCAUGCCGCGUGCAGGAAUAAGGCCCUAUGGGUCGUAAACUGCUUUUGUAGUGGAGCAAUAAGGUGUACGCGUACAUCGAUGAGAGUACAUUACGAAUAAGCAUCGGCUAACUCCGUGCCAGCAGCCGCGGUAAUACGGAGGAUGCAAGCGUUAUCCGGAUUUAUUGGGUUUAAAGGGUGCGUAGGCUGUUUGUCAAGUCAGGGGUGAAAUCCCGGGGCUCAACUCCGGAAUUGCCUUUGAUACUGGCAGGCUUGAAUACUGUUGCCGUGGGAGGAAUGAGUAGUGUAGCGGUGAAAUGCAUAGAUAUUACUCAGAACACCGAUUGCGAAGGCAUCUCACGAAUCCGUCAUUGACGCUGAGGCACGAAAGCGUGGGGAUCAAACAGGAUUAGAUACCCUGGUA